Long non-coding RNA from Rana temporaria (common frog), 1529 nucleotides. RefSeq lists it as uncharacterized. NCBI's taxonomy places the organism in Eukaryota, Metazoa, Chordata, Amphibia, Anura, Ranidae. The record is from RefSeq and is a predicted model, not a curated record. The transcript has 2 exons.
CCCCUGGUGUUAGGGGUGGACAUGCAGUAAAGUUGGAAGCAGGUUGUGGCACCCAGGUAUGCCCAGCUGAAGAUGCGAGACAGAAGGCAAAGGCAGGAGACAGAAGAAUAUCCAGGAAAUAAGCCAAGUUCAGGGCUGGUGGCAGGCAUGCACAGACAGUAGAUAAAUUGGGAGUCAUUACAUGGGAAGUCAGAUGCUAAAUACACGUAAUACUAGGCAAACAGGAGAUCAGAAAACUAGGAAGUUGCUCAGGCAACUGAGCAUGUCUAUAUAUAGGAAAGUCGACAGGGAGACGGGCCAGAAAGUUAUACAAAGGACAAGGAUAUAAGCCGACAGAAGAGCAAGCAACACCCAUAGGUGAACAGAGAAGCCAGCAGCACAUGUGAAUGGAGUCACAGAUCUAACAGAACUACUGCAGCAAAGAGGAACCAACAUACCCCUUUAAGGUUGGUAACCUUGUGGUGGUCCAGCAGCUGAACCGAACCAAAAAGCAGGAAUAUCCUUUUGGACCCCCAACUAUUGUAAUCACGGUAACCAGGACAGCAAUCCUUGUGGAAGGACAACAGUCCUGGAUCCAUGCCAGUCAAGUACUGUAUGCCAGGACCAUAAGAAGCAAGGCAAAGACAAAGAUAAAGACAAAAGAGGAAAAGAAAGUAGAGAAAAUCCUCGAAUACUGAGUGAAGAAGGUGGUCAAGUCUCUGGAAGGUGGUCAAGUCUCUGGAAAAAGAUGACCUCGCUUAUUUCACCACAGACUUCUGGGAAAGCCUUCUGUUCCUGAUGACUGAUUGUGUUCCUACCCACCUGGGUCAUAACUAACUGUAUAUAUCAUCCAGAGGACUUGGGAGCCUUAAAAGGCAUAUGUGGGUCACUUCAGAAUCAAUCUAAUCAUACACAUAUAAGACAUAAGAGAGAUAUACAAGCUGAAGAAAAUAAGGACGUUAGUUUCACUGAUAAAGAUGCUUUUAUUAAAAUUUAAAUAUAGCUAUGCUAAUAAAGCUUACCUCAGUAUGUAUUACAAUAAAGAGGCUACCUAUAUUACAACGAAGGGAAAAUUAGCCAUUUAAUGUAAUUUAAUUAUGUCUCAAAGAGGGGAUUGUAAGAGACUGUAUAAAACAAUUAUUUGCCUAUUUCACACACAGCCAUCUUUCUGUUUCUGUAAAGACAUACAUCUUUAUUUGUAGGCAACUCACCUAUAUAGAUUGUGGCAUACCUUUAUCUGUGGGAAACAUCUGUUUUACAUGGAGCUGUGCAUUCUUGUGACAUUCUUGUGGUUUUAGCCAAAGUCUGAAUACAUUUUCUUUCCUAACUGUAAUAUAUGUUAUUGAGAAAUAUGCAUUUUCAAGAUAGAAGCAGAUGCUUGCUAAAUAGAUGACGUAUGUCUUAUACUGAUAAGGGAAGUCACUCCUAUGCCCCACCUCUUUUGUCUUUGAAACUGUAUAAAUACUGUGAAUCUGUGUUCAAUAAACUAGAGACCUUUUGAUAGCACUCUGUUCAUGUGCAUCAUUGGGUUCUCUCUCAGAUCUGACGGA